Molecule: long non-coding RNA, 2456 nt
Organism: Lycium ferocissimum
Lineage: Eukaryota; Viridiplantae; Streptophyta; Magnoliopsida; Solanales; Solanaceae
Exons: 3
Source: RefSeq, a predicted model, not a curated record
UGAGAUACAAGGGUUUGACUGCAACAAUGUGCACUAUUUUCUAGUUGUGAGUGGGAAUAAAAGGGAAGCCAGAAUAGGGAGUAAGAGAUGGACUUCUAAAAUAAAAAGAAGAAAAGAAAGAAAGUCACAUUGGAUUGAGCUUAAGUUCCUCAAUACUUUAGAGAGGAUGAUUUUCUUGGGUCUAGUUUAGUUUAGAACAACCUAAAGCGAAUGGAAAAGAUUAGUCUGUUAGCAUGAGAGAAGUCUUGAGGACAAGAGAGCAAGAUGAGAGAGCGAAGGAAUAUUACUGAUGUGAUAACCUAAAUAGGGAAGCCAAGCUUCUUUAUGACUUUAAUUUGGUGAUACUAGAAAUCACCAUAGACCAAGAAGGGAAGAGAAUGGUUAGGUUGAGGAAUAGUUCUCAAUGCUUUCCUGCUGCUGUUACUUUUCCCUUUGCCCUGCCAGCGCCUCAGUAUUCCUUGACAGUGCUUGGCGUUCGCCCCAUAUAAAUUCAAGACAACAUUCAAGUGUUAUUAGUGAAUAGACAUAAGGAGCACAGGACUAGAAUUUGGUAUACGAUUCUCUAUCAUAUUUGCAUAUUGACAUUUAGCAGAAAGAGCCUAUCCGUGUGACAAAAUCGUAUAAUUGUAAGAUGAAGUGAUGCGUGGAAAAUGAACUUUCUUUACUUCUAAUGCAAAUUUGAUUAAUAUUAACUUACAGAGUGUACAAAUGUAGGUCUCGCGUACACCUUCCGGGGUGGGGUAGGAGAAGCCGUAUGAUUACUCGGCAUUGUGGAAGUGCGGUUCUAUAGCCGUCAGUUAACAAUUAAUGCAACCCUACAAAUCAUUUCUAUCUAUACUUUUAUUACAUAAACCUUGUCUCAUAUGAUGGUAUGGACAUAGCUAUAUAUAUAUAUAGAGAGAGAGAGAGAGUUGAAAGACUCUAGAAUAAAGACUAAUUGUAUGUUUUGUGCAAAAAGAAAAACUGUUGCAUGAUCUUUUUCCUUUUUGUGUGUCCUAUCAUUUACUUGUCGUCCAUUUUGUGCUCAUGCAUUUUCUCGAUAAGCUAUUUUGUGCUCAUUCCUAAUCAUGCUGAAAUCGUUACUCAUGACCGCUAUCUUUUGUAACUGUUAUUAUGAAAUAUGACGGUGACUUAUUCGAACUUUUGAUUUGUCACAAGUGCAAGAGAUGGUCACUUAUUGGAUUACUUCAUUAUCCAAAAAAAGAACCACUGAAAAAUUGAAGUUUAAGGGCAUGUUGGGAUUUUUCUUUUUCUAACUUUUGACAUGAUGAUUAUUUGUGGUUUUCCUUGAUGUUAGAAAGUUAAGUCACUAUGUCUUUGUCUUCAGUUCUUGAAGAAUUUGUUAGUUACGUUGUUCCCUUUUUAGGACUUUCUUCAGAAACUUCUGGGAUCUCAAAAAGACCUUUUACUCAGAAUUUUGUGGUUCUUCGUCUUAAUCUAAAUAUAACUCCUUGAGGAGAUAGCUCUUCCUAUUUAACGUGGAUCAUUCAACAUGUCCAGCCGCCACCGUGUCUAUGUUGCACGACUUGAAUGUUGGAUACAUAUCAGAUUCGGUUAAUUCACCUAAGAUGUAUUGACUGUAACUGUGGCCGAGAACCAUAGGUUUGGCUUGGUUUGUGGUCCGAUUUUUCAGUUUACACACACACACACACAUCACAAGUCUAUUAGAUGUCAGUAGCCGUACUACAAUCCAUAUCAGUGAAUACAUGAAUUUAUGUGAUGAUGAAUCCAACUUAUCAAAAAAAAUCCGCACAUAGACCUCUUCUAGAUCUUAUAAACUCGAAGGUAUCUGCUCGCUCUUUCUCUCUCUCUCUUUUUGUUGUUCUGCUAGUUCAUGCUCGCAACCUAUAAUUAGUAACACAUUAAAUUUGUACGACAUGUCAGUCCAAAUACGUAAAUUAACUCACCCUUGCACCCUCGCUAUGAAUAUCUUUUCCUAAUUAUAAGUUAUAGCUCGGCUACCUCUUUGCUUAAUCAAGUCAUCCUAAUUACUAUGUGGAACUAGAGUUUCAAGUUGGUGAGAGUGCCACAUAUCAUAGUAUGGUGGGUGUAAACAGUCACCUGAUACAUGCAACAACAAAAAAUUGAUCCAUGGCAGAUUGUAUGGUGGAACGCCAGUGGACAACAGAGAUGGUAAUGGGGGAGACAGAUUUGGUCAUCUAGUUGAUUUACAUGCUUGGAACCCACAUUGUCUGAAUCUGGACGGGGUUACAUUUUGAUGAAUUAAAGAUAUGCAUGUAACUUGUACUAUAGAUGAAAAUAUCAGAUAGAAUUUCUAAUGGUCUAUCUGGUUGCUAUCAUGGUGGAAUUGUAAUAUCAGAUAGAUGGACAUCAUUAGGUUUCAGCUACUUUGAAGGAAGAGAAACCCUUAUAUUCAUCCAAGUCCAUGUUGUUCACUCAAAAGCGUUCUCUUCAGAAAGAGGAUUUUAACGCACAUAAGGCGUUUAGCAUUUUAA